GCGGCCUAUCAGCUUGUUGGUGAGGUAAUGGCCUACCAAGGCAACGACGGGUAGCUGGUCUGAGAGGAUGAUCAGCCACACUGGGACUGAGACACGGCCCAGACUCCUACGGGAGGCAGCAGUGGGGAAUCUUGCGCAAUGGGCGAAAGCCUGACGCAGCAACGCCGCGUGCGGGAUGAAGGCCUUCGGGUUGUAAACCGCUUUCAGCAGGAACGAAAAUGACGGUACCUGCAGAAGAAGGAGCGGCCAACUACGUGCCAGCAGCCGCGGUGACACGUAGGCUCCAAGCGUUGUCCGGAUUUAUUGGGCGUAAAGAGCUCGUAGGCGGUUUAGUAAGUCGGGUGUUAAAACUCUGGGCUCAACCCGGAGACGCCAUCCGAUACUACUAUGACUUGAGUUCAGGAGGGGAGACUGGAAUUCCU
Molecule: ribosomal RNA, 422 nt
Filed under: uncultured Actinomycetes bacterium
Lineage: Bacteria; Bacillati; Actinomycetota; Actinomycetes
Description: bacterial SSU rRNA
Rfam family: Bacterial small subunit ribosomal RNA
Source: RNAcentral